AUAAAAAUAAAGUCUAAACCUUUAAAAGUGCUAUUCAUUUAAAAACCUGUGAACUUUCUACGUGACAUACGCGUAGAUCGUUUGAAUUAUACUCACAGAGCAUGAAACAUACGAAUGAUGUUAGAUUACCAUUACACAUUUUCAAGGGUGAAAAAUUUGAACGUCGAAAGAAAAUCGAUUGGACGAGUCAGCAGGUGUGCGGGUACCCGAGAUUUCCGAGUCGGGUCGAAAAAAGUUGUGUGGGAUUGGGUGAGCUCACGAUUUGAGAGCUUUUUCUGGGGAAGCCUGAUUUGAUCACGAGUGUACCUAUAAAUGUCCGAACAAAUAUUCAUAUCCAAAAUAGAUAAUACAAUUUUCAUUUUGGAUAAUGAAUAAUUCUUUGGAAUGCAUUUUAAAUAAAUUUAAUAUAAAUAAAGAUUUACAUGAAUUAUGUAAAGUGAUUUCAACCAAUGAUUUUCAAAUGCAGAUAAAUUUUUACGAACUUAUUGCUUAUUGAUAGCUACUACAAUCACUGACCAGCUCAACAUUUCCGAGCGAACUUCGAUUAAUCAUGCAGCACAAUUCUACUCAAACUGCUGUGUUUUAUUGCAAGACAACACAAUGGCGUGAUGAGCUAUCAGUCAUCCUUGACUUUCAGCAAGUCAGGUUGUACAUUGUCGUGAAACGAUACCACCAACAUCCCAUCGUCAAUAUAUCACACAGUAUAGAGGCAUAUGUGUCAUCGUAGUUGCAUCGUGUUCUACAAUGAUAUAGGGUACAUUACUGCCUUUGUAAUUAAGCGUACAAUAAUACUUCCAUUAAAACAAACGUAUGUAUACAGGGUGAGUCGCCUAAGGCAAGCCACCUGAAUAACUCCUACAUUUGUGGAGAUAGAAAAAAAUGUUUCAGACAAAAAUUGUUUGGUUUCGAUGAGCUCAUUGCGCGGUGUACAUAACUUUUCUUCAGAUGGAGGCGUUUAGGAGAUUUGAAGGUCAACUUAAUUUUUUUAAACGGAAUGGGGUACUUUUUUAUGCAUCAAACGAUGCAGCUAGAUAUUCUUUAUGAAAAAAAGUACUGACCUAUGUAUGUCCUAUGAGCACGAAUCGGUCUGAAAUUUUUUCUGUAGAAUCAUUAAAGAGUUCUCUAAAUACCCUGAAAAUUUCAUGAUGGAACACGCAGAAUUGCCGGAGUUAUAAAAUUUUAUUGCUGCGCCGCUACUCUACAUUUUUUCAAAUAGCCAGCCAUCGGUUAACAACUACGGAAUAAGUCGACACGUUUUUGGUACUUUUGUCUAAAA
Non-coding RNA from Osmia lignaria (orchard mason bee), 1276 nucleotides. The record is from RefSeq and is a predicted model, not a curated record. Lineage: Eukaryota; Metazoa; Arthropoda; Insecta; Hymenoptera; Megachilidae.